AGCAGGAAAGAAAGUCUUAUGGCGUUCUUCAAGCGAGCUUGGGAUAGUGGGAGCCAAGUAGGGCAAAAUAAAGAACUGGCGCUUUCUGUAGUAUUUUCAAAAGUAAUGAAGUAAUAAAUUAGGGUGGAACCGCGUUUCUGACGCCCCUAGGUCAAAUCAACCUAGGAUUGUCGGAUGCGGUUCUUUUGAAUU
Molecule: unclassified non-coding RNA, 192 nt
Filed under: Streptococcus mitis B6
Lineage: Bacteria; Bacillati; Bacillota; Bacilli; Lactobacillales; Streptococcaceae
Description: T-box leader
Rfam family: Streptococcus sRNA SpR19 (bases 22-143)
Source: RNAcentral